UUGUUCAAGCAAACCAAAACAACUAAUGCAUAAAUAAAACUAAAGCGAAAUAAUUACAUAUUAAAGUCGCGCGUGCGGGUGUAUGCGUGUGCGUGUGUACGUGCGCGUGUGUGUGUGUGCGUGUGCGAAGCAGUUGAAAACGCAGCAAAAAUCUACUGCACAGAGCCAAAAUAAACGCGCAAAAGGCAACGGGCAAAAAAUAUAAACAUAACACGAAUGUGCGAAAGUGGGCGUGGGGACUGGACGAUUUUAUAGUUAUAGCAGCCGAUUAGACGUACAUAUAUAUAUGUAAACAUAGAGCGGCGCAAUUUUGAUUUCUCUUUUGUUUUUAUAUUGUGUUAAUUUGCGCCCUUGCGUGCAAAUGUGUGUGUGUGUGUGUGUGUGUGCGUGCAUGGAAUUUAGCGACGCCUGCUGGCAUAAAAUUCAACCCCCAAUGCCCCCGCCCCUACUUAACGGGCAAAGUAAGAAGAACAGCAACAAUGGCAGCACCUCACCACCAAAAACGCCAAGCACCACCCCCUGGCACGAACAGCAGCCCCUGACGAAAACCAUGCUGAAAAUUGACUCGGUCGAACGAAGGUGAUGUUGUUCUUGUUCUUGUUGCUGUUGUUGUUGUUGUUGUUGGGGUGUUAAGCUAAAAUAACAAGCAGCAGCGGCGCCGUAAUUCAAAAACUGUCGAAAUAAAACGGCUCUGCGCUCCACUUGCUGACACUCUCGACUUUCCCGCUCUUCCUCCCUCCCUCUCUCUCUCUCUCUCUCUUUCUCUCUCUCUCCAACGCUUUGGCCGUCUCGCUGUUCCGACACUCGUGCGCAUUCUAUCUCUCUCUCGCUCUGACUCUCUUGUGACGCUUAUUUUGCGGCAGCCAAAAGUUGAGCUCCAAGCGGCCUGUCCUUUAUAAUUGUAUUCGCCUGUGCGUGUGUGUGUGUGUGUGUGUGUGCAAAAGGCAUAAAUGUAAGCCAAAAGAGCAGCAGCCAACGGAAAGCAAGUUGAAAGCAUAAGCAAAACACUUUGAAUUCCGUUGGGCAACUCUUCUCUGUUAACUCUUCUCUGUUAACUUUAAUGCUAAAAUUGAUAAAUACAAAUUUUUCAUAAAUAAGUUGUUGCGAACAUUUUAAUUGCUGUUUAGGCAUUUGCUGCUUAAAAUUUUUGCGCAAAUUGUGCGCUGCGCAACACCGGCCGGCGGCCGUUUGGCAACACUGUUAAUGUUGUUGCCGCUGUGUGCAACCCUGUGUGCCGCACACGAAUGCGAGUGGGAAAGCGUGUGGUCGAAAAUCAAGAACAGCAACAAAAACAAGCGACGACGAAACAGCUACAAAAGCACUUGAUGAACAACAAUCCGAAAAGGAAAUCAAUAAUAAUAACAAUAACAAUAAACGCUCCCAAGUGUGCAACUCGACCUCCUCUACAUCUACUUCUUCUUC
Long non-coding RNA from Drosophila virilis, 1422 nucleotides. RefSeq lists it as uncharacterized. The record is from RefSeq and is a predicted model, not a curated record. Lineage: Eukaryota; Metazoa; Arthropoda; Insecta; Diptera; Drosophilidae.